RNAcentral lists this non-coding RNA (28 nucleotides) under Rattus norvegicus (Norway rat). The record is from RNAcentral. Lineage: Eukaryota; Metazoa; Chordata; Mammalia; Rodentia; Muridae.
UAUAAAAUACCUGGACAGGAUCAUGCCA